GCACAUGGUAAGAACUCAAGCCUUGGUUUCCUUCCUGCCCAGCCCUCCACUGCCAUCACAUAGCUACAGACACACACACACUGAGGACCUCCUGUUUCAUGUUAACUCAUCAAACAGUUACUGAACAGCUCUUAUUAACAAGGGCCUGGAUCUCCUGGGGACACUGUCCAACUAGUGUCUGGUACCAACAGCUCUACUUCUAAACCCCAUGAGGAAAAGGCCCAGGAGGGACGGGUGAGCUUGCUCAUGCGGGAACCCAGUCCGUGUGGAAUGGACGGCCUUGGUGACCUCAGUCCCCAAUUCCUGUGUCGCUCACCAGCACUGACUUUAUUAUCUUCUCGGGGGCUCUGAUCACCCAAGCUAUGCUGGCCUGGGCCUGGAAAAUUCCCUCAUCUCUCUUGUGGGGAGUUCAGCUGAGAUGAGGUUGGGAUUUUUGAAAGGGAACUAUUCCUAGGAAACUCAGGGCAAAACAGAAGAAAAAAAGAAAACCCACGAAUCGUAGCACCAGUUGGGCUUGCAGGCUCUGCCACGGAAGUCUGCAGUGCGGAGCUUCCUGGGAGCCCAGUCCUGGUCCCUUGCCUACCCCAGCGCACUGCCUUCUGCAGGCUCUGUUCUGCAGCUGUUCCCCACGUGCAGAGGGAAUGUGGGGGGUGACCAAUUCCAGCUAGCCACGAUUCUCACCUUCUUGUUGCCUCCUGCCCCGCCCAACCCUUGGGUACCAGAUGGGAGUUCCAGGAGUACGCCAUGAAGGGGAGGGACAGGUCGGGGAGUGAGUAGUGAUGAGGGGGAGAGAGUGUUGAAAAGUCUCUAUCAGGUUUUUCCCUAAUAGCGAGUGGUGUCUGGAUGAGAAGCGCACUGCUACUGGGGCUCCAAAGCUGGUUCAGCCCAGACUCCUUCGGGCCAGCUCACAGGGCACAGGGGCUGCAGAGAGAAGCCCGACUCUGUAAUGAAGUCUCAGCAGAGACAAAGCAUCAUGUGAGCUGCCUUAAGGAGCUACCUUAAGGAGUGAAGAAGACAGCAGUGAUUAAUUCCUGGCGAGACAAACACACAAAUGGGCUCAUAUUAUAACCUCUUAUACUUCUUCAUGAACAGCCCUCCUCUAGCUCUACCCUAGUCCCCUAGGAAUUCUCAGGCCUCAGGGAUCCUAGGACCAUGAACUGGGAUUUCCACACUGGGCUCCAUGGAGUCGCAGGGGGGCCAGCAGGGCCUCAGAAGACAAGGAAGGCGGUGUCAAUGAAGAGCACAUCGGGUGGGACGUCUACCUUCUUUUCUUCAAUCAAGGGGAAAAUAUCUACUUUUUAAUCUGUUUUAUUUAGAGGACUAAUGCAUGAGACCAAAUUGAAGCAUUGGCAGCUAAUGAGAAGUUCAAAGAAAACAGUGUCUUUGGGAAUAUUAAGUAAUGUAUUAACGAUGAAAAACAAUUGAAAUAGCCUGGAAUGUACACUUUUAAAAGAUUCUUGAAAGAA
Non-coding RNA from Macaca mulatta (Rhesus monkey), 1466 nucleotides. The record is from RefSeq and is a predicted model, not a curated record. Lineage: Eukaryota; Metazoa; Chordata; Mammalia; Primates; Cercopithecidae.